This is a non-coding RNA of Arachis ipaensis, 287 nucleotides long. The record is from RefSeq and is a predicted model, not a curated record. Lineage: Eukaryota; Viridiplantae; Streptophyta; Magnoliopsida; Fabales; Fabaceae.
UUCAGAAAAAAUGGCAGGCAGAAACCAAGCUGAAAAAAAUCAAAUCAAGGACCUAAAGUGUGCAACCCAUCUGUUGAGUGAGAAAUUCAGAAAUAUGAGCGAGGAGAAGUGAUGCAAUAAGACUGUCCAGGCCAUCCUCAUUGUUAUUGAAUCCAUUUUGUCAGAUAGAUUCUAAUGAUAUUGUCACUGAUUAAUGUAACUGUUAUAUACUCUUGUAAGAAAUUGAACACAUGGUGUAAAUAUAUUUGAUCCAAUUAUAAGUAAAUUUUUUUUCCAUAAUUAAACUC